AUGGCCAAAUUCUGGUGGAGUGGAUCUCUUGAUCGGCGAUCUAUGCAUUGGCUAUCUUGGAAAAAACUUGCAUCUCCGAAGUGUCAGGGUGGGAUGGGCUUUCGUGAUCUUGAGUUAUUCAACCUAGCACUACUGGGUAAACAUGGUUGGAGAUUUAUCUCUAAUCCCAACUCCUUAUGCGCCCAAGUGAUGAAGGGCUAUUUUCCGGACUGUGAUUUCAUGGAGGCUUCAGUACCAAACACAUCAUCAGCUAUAUGGCGAGCGAUCAUCGCCGGGAGGGAAGCUCUCCAUGUCGGUCUCAUCAAGAGGGUGGGGGACGGCAGCACCAUCUCCGUUUGGGGGGAUAAGUGGAUCCCGGGCCUUCCCUCCAUGUCUCCUAUGGUGAUGCCGGGGGGAACGACAAUUACCACCGUGCAUGAGCUUAUUGAUCAUGAAAACGGGACCUGGCGGCGGGAUCUGAUCAACAAUAUCUUCAUUCGACCAGACGCCGAUGCUAUUAUGAAUAUCCCCCUACGGUGA
This 519-nucleotide ribosomal RNA is filed under the name Triticum aestivum (bread wheat). Its description in RNAcentral is "partial small subunit ribosomal RNA". The record is from RNAcentral. Lineage: Eukaryota; Viridiplantae; Streptophyta; Magnoliopsida; Poales; Poaceae.